RNAcentral lists this transfer RNA (70 nucleotides) under Loxodonta africana (African savanna elephant). It matches the Rfam family "tRNA". Rfam says of the family: Transfer RNA (tRNA) molecules are approximately 80 nucleotides in length. Their secondary structure includes four short double-helical elements and three loops (D, anti-codon, and T loops). Further hydrogen bonds mediate the characteristic L-shaped molecular structure. tRNAs have two regions of fundamental functional importance: the anti-codon, which is responsible for specific mRNA codon recognition, and the 3' end, to which the tRNAs corresponding amino acid is attached (by aminoacyl-tRNA synthetases). tRNAs cope with the degeneracy of the genetic code in two manners: having more than one tRNA (with a specific anti-codon) for a particular amino acid; and 'wobble' base-pairing, i.e. permitting non-standard base-pairing at the 3rd anti-codon position. The record is from Rfam by way of RNAcentral. Lineage: Eukaryota; Metazoa; Chordata; Mammalia; Proboscidea; Elephantidae.
GCCCUGGUGGUACAGUGGUUAAGCACUUGGCUGCUAACCAAAAGAUCAAGGGUUCGAACCCACCAGAGCA